This 7930-nucleotide unclassified non-coding RNA is filed under the name Amphibalanus amphitrite. Its description in RNAcentral is "tyrosine-protein phosphatase Lar-like, transcript variant X6". The record is from RNAcentral. Lineage: Eukaryota; Metazoa; Arthropoda; Thecostraca; Balanomorpha; Balanidae.
GUUUAGUGUUGAAACGGCUCGGGGUGGGUGUGGAGCUCUUAAAAUUGGACAUUUUGCGUAAUUAAUUGACAAAGGUCACUGAGCAGCGACGAACGCCGGCGCGGCUGCUGACGGAGCCGGGGAGGAGUGGGAGGACUCCCAGCCUCGAGGAUAGUCCUCACCGGGGACUGCCUCUCGGAGGACGGAGCGCCACCCGGCGGGAGCACACUCCGCGCGCACGUGUGUGGAGACCAGUGACAGUGACAUAUCGUGGGGAUUUGGUAUCGAGAGUACCAAGUGAAAACUGUGUGAUUUGAGGAACCGAUCCAGGACGAGCCCGCGGAAGGCGUCAGUGUGUCAGUGUGCGUUGGGGAGCUAUGUGACGAGUCGCCCGGACGGACGGUAUGACGCACUGACGCGGUGCGUCUGAGGUGACUUUACUGCAGAUCGGUACUGUUUUAACCGACAUCGGCGAGCCAGGAUGGCACUGCGCGGGAGGAGGAUGGUGACAGCCGCGUGCGCGCUGCUCGUGCACUCGCUCGCCAUCGCCGCCGCUGCCGACCCGCCGGUGAUCACGGAGGAGCCGCGCGACCAGAAGGUGCCCUACUCAGAGGCGGCCGCCUUCUUCUGUCGGGCGCGCGGCGACCCGGCGCCGGUCAUCACCUGGUGGCGUAACGGCGAGCCGCUGCAGCCCAGCCUACUGGUCGAGUUCCCGCAGGGCAAGGGCUUCUGGGUGGAGCCGGUCCGCCGCACGACUGACGAGGGCGACUACGAGUGUGUGGCAGAGAACGGCGUGGGUGAUCCGGUGCGCGCCAAGGCCUCGCUCACCGUCAUCGGAGGUGCGGACAGCGUGCGUCCGUCGGGAUUUCCGCGGAUCACGCAGGACCCGAUGCCGCAGCCGGUGGAGAAAGGCCGCGACUUUGUGGUGCGGUGCCGCGCCACGGGCGACCCGGAGCCGACCAUCCACUGGUUCAAGGACGGCGUGCCGGUCAACAUGUCCGACAGCCGGUACCGACUGCGCGGCGAGCCCAACAGAGGUGAUCUGCGCAUUGCUGACUCGGUGGUGAGCGACCAGGGCAAGUAUCGGUGUGCCGCCGAGAACAGCGAGGGCACCGUCUACUCCAAGGACUCGACCGUCUACAUACGAGUUCGCCGGGUGAAGCCGUCGUUCACCAUCCCGCCGGAGCCGAUGUACGAGGUCCUGCCCGGCGAGAGCCUCAACCUGACGUGUGUCGCCGUGGGGUCGCCAAUGCCGCACAUCCGCUGGAGGAAGGAGCCGGGCAGCGAGCCGUCACCCAAGGAGAACGCGCCCAUCGGCCGGGCCUUCCUGGUGCUCAACAACAUCAGGGAGUCUAUGAACUACACGUGUCUGGCGACCAGCGAACUGGGCACCGUCACCUCCCACACCCAGGUCAAGGUGCAAGCGAUGCCGCGUCCGCCGACCAACCUGCGGGUGUCGGACGUCACCUCCGAGUCUGUUCGUCUGACGUGGUCCUACGACCUGGACCAGGAGACCAUCCAGUACUACGUGAUCCAGUACAACCAGAAACACGGCAUCCAACAGGAGGAGAUCAGUGGAGUGAUCACGCUGUUUUACGUGGUGCCCAACCUCGCUCCGUAUACCGAGUACGAGUUCCGAGUGAUCGCCGUCAAUAACAUCGGGCGCGGUCAGCCCAGCGUGCCCGUCCAGGUCACCACCGGACCCACAGAGCCGGGCUCGGCGCCGAAGAACGUGCACGUUCGCCCGCUGAGCUCCAGUACCCUGGUGGUGAAAUGGGACGGUCCCGACCAGCCCAACGGACAGAUCACCAACUACCGUGUCUACUACACUCGGACUCCGGACAAGCCCCUGAAGCAGUGGGAGUCGGACGUGGUGAACGCCGGCAGCACCACCCUCACCACCAUCUCCAACCUGAUCCCGCACGAGAUCUACACGUUCCGCGUGCAGGCCGAGACGCUGGCCGGCUCGGGGCCCAUCUCCGUACCGGUGCGAGCCAAAACACAGCAGGGAGUGCCCAGCCAGCCGAACGGCCUGCGAGUGGUGAAGGCGGACGCCACGACGGCCGAACUGGAGUGGGACCGCCCCUCCCACUCGGGAGAGAGCAUCAUCAACUAUGUCGUCUACUACAACGACUCGUAUGAUGCGGAUGAGCGUCGGAUCAACAUCCCGGUCCGUGAGCAGUACACGAUGGAGGGCCUGUACCCGAACACCCAGUACUUUGUGUGGGUGGCGGCCCAGUCGGGCAUGGGAGAGGGCGCCGCCACGCCGGCCGUCUCCUUCCGCACGGACGAGUAUGUGCCGGGCGAGGCGCCGCGCGAGGUGGCCGUGCGCGCCAUCGACUCGCGCUCGCUGCUGGUUACCUGGCGGCCGCCGCCGGCCGACCAGCAGAACGGCGCCAUCACCUACUACAAGCUCUUCUACAAGCUCUCCGGACACAACGACUCGCAGACGGUGCAGAUCAUUGUCAACGAUCCGACGCGGCGCAACUUCACGCUGGACGAGCUGCACAAAUACGCCGAGUACUCUGUGCGCGUGCUGGCCGGGACGCGGGUCGGAGACGGCCCCGCCAGCCGGCCGGUACUGGCGCGCACCGAUGAGGACGUGCCCGGGAAGCCUCGGAACCUGACGGCUGUGGUGCUCAACUCGACGGCCGUGCAGCUGUCGUGGGCGCCGCCGAGCGACAACGAGCGGAACGGCAUCAUCCGCGGGUACCAGGUGCAUGUCCAGGAGCUGGGCUCCGAGAGUGGCGGCUCGACCCGUCCUCGGCGGUAUGAGAUCCGGAACGGCAGCGCGGACGGUUACAUCGCCUCCGACCUGCAGCCCAGCACCGCCUACCUGUUCAGGGUCUCUGCCCUGACCCGGAAGGGAGACGGCUCGCGCAGUGACGCCGCCCGGGUCACCACGCAGGGUGGAGUGCCCAACCGGCCCAAGGUCAUCAUCAAAGUGAUCAAGGAGGAGGAGCGCGUCACGCUGGACGUGGAGUGGUCGCGGCCCACCGAGACCCACGGCCCGCUGCUGGGCUACCGGCUGCGCUACGGCCGGGUCGGCGGUCCCGGGCCGCUCAAGGAGGUCAACAUUGCCGACAACACCACCCAGUACCGGCGGCUCAGCGACCUGGAGCGCGGCGUGCAGUACGAGUUCCGCGUGUCGGGCACCAAUGACGUGGGUCACGGUCAGGAGGAGAUAGUGAUGUACGUGACCAGCGAGGGGGCGCCGUCCGGGCCGCCCUCCAACGUCUCCUUCAGGUUCCAGACCACUGACCGGGUUGCCUUCACCUGGGACCCGCCGCGCUCCGACCAGCGCAACGGCAAGAUCACCGGCUACAGCGUGCGCUUCCACAAGAAGGGCAACAUGGACCACGUGCAGCGGCUGCACCCCAACGAGACCAAGGUGGUGUUUGCCAGACUGGAGGAGAACACCGAGUACGAGUUCCGCGUGCUGGCCAACACGUCGGUGGGCUCCGGCCCGUGGAGCAGCCCGGUGGUGGUGAGAACGGACGCCGACCUGGUGCGGCCGCCCAUCAACCUGCGCGCUAUGGCCACCAGCUACUCGAGCGUCGAGGUCUGGUGGGAACAGGUGCACACGGCCACGCAGAUCGUCGGCUAUCAGGUAUUUUACGCCAUGGUGCCAGACGUGGAUCUGGACUCGUGGUCGUUCAAGACUGUGCCCAUCACCACCUCGGCAGAGCUGGAGAACCUCGACAAGAACGCCCAGUACGCCGUCAUGGUGGCCGCCAGGAGCAAGGCCGGCCUGGGUCGCCUCUCCGACCUGAUCCGCGUCCGCGUCAAACCCAUCGACGUGCCGAUGAACCUGCGCGCCAAGAACGUGCACACGCACGGUAUGUCGCUCAGCUGGGGCCCUCCUGUUCAGCUGAACCCGCGCAGCUACCGCGUCCGCUACGACGCCGUCAAGGAGUUCCUGGACGCCGAGGGCGUCACCCAGUCGCAGCGGAUCCAGGCGCGCACCAUGGUGGUGGACGCCGGCCGCUGCGACUACACCAGCAGCUCGACGAACGCCUGCGGCCUGGUGAUCGACUCGCUGGAGCCGUUUACCACGUACACGGUCAAUGUGACGGCCGUGCCCAACGACAGCGAGUACCGCGCGCCGGCAAAGAUCAGGGUCACCACCCAUAUGGCCGCUCCCCAGCCGAUGGUGAAGCCGGACCCGCUCGGAGUCCGUAACGGCCGCGAGGUGCUGGUCAUCCUGCCGCGGGCCUCCGAGGAGUACGGACCUAUCUCUCACUACUACAUCGUGGUGGUGCCAGAGGACACCGUCAACCCCUACAGACACCCCGAGUCGUACAGCACCAAAAACAUGGUACAGACCAAGCGGACCAAGCUGACCCGCAACUACCGUCCGUACAUCGCGGCCAAGUUCUACCAGCGCGACAUUCCGUACACAUUCGCUCUGGGAGAUGGAAAGGAGUACGACGGCUUCCUGAACAAGGUGCUGGAAAAGGACAAGAAGUACCGCAUCUUCGUCAGAGCCGUGGUCGACACGCCGGAAAGGGAACUGUUCACGUCCAGUCCGUACUCUAGCCCUCUGAGUCUGGACAUGAAGCGGCUGCCGCCGGGCGCGCUGCCGCAGCGGCCGAUCCCCGGCAGUCCGGGCGACCCGGUCGAGGUGGCUACAGAGGGCGACCGCGGCCCGACCAGCCUCGUCUGGGUGGUCGGACCCGUGGUGGCCGGCGUCGUGCUCUUCGUCAUCUUCAUACUCUUCCUGGUGAUCACUGCGAAAAAACGCCGCGACUUCCAGAAGUCUCCGGAGCCGCCGACGGUGAUGAAGCCUCUGAUGUGUGACAUGUCUGCGGCGCCGGCCACCCAGCCGCCGCAGACCGACCCCGUGGAGAUCCGCCGGCAGAACUUCCAGACGCCCGGCAUGAUCUCGCACCCGCCCGUCCACAUCGCCCAGCUGGCAGAGCACGUGGAUGCGCUGAAAGCCAACGAUAACCAGAAGUUCUCACAGGAGUAUGAGUCGAUCGAGACGGGUCAGCAGUUCACCUGGGUGAACUCCAACAUGGACGUCAACCGGCCCAAGAACCGCUACGCCAACGUCAUCGCGUACGACCACUCGCGGGUGGUGCUGCAGCCCAUCGAGGGACAGGCGGGCAGCGACUACAUCAACGCCAACUUCUGCGACGGCUACCGAAAACACAACGCCUACAUCGCCACUCAGGGUCCUCUACCGGAGACGUUCGCCGACUUCUGGCGCAUGGUGUGGGAGCAGCGCAGCUACACCAUCGUGAUGAUGACCCGUCUGGAGGAGCGGGCGCGCAUCAAGUGCGACCAGUACUGGCCUUCCAAGGGCACCCAGACCUACGGACCGAUCAUCGUCACACACACGGAGACUCAGGAGGUGGCCAGCUACGUGGUGCGCACCUUCCAGCUGCAGAGGUCGGACUCUGUGGAGCGCCGCGAGGUGCGUCAGUUCCAGUUCACCGCCUGGCCGGACCACGGCGUGCCCGACCACCCCACCCCGUUCCUCAUGUUCCUGCGGCGCGUCAAGGCGCUCAACCCGUCCGACGCCGGUCCGAUGGUCACCCACUGCUCGGCCGGCGUCGGCCGCACCGGCUGCUUCAUCGCCAUCGACAGUAUGCUGGAGCGGAUCCGCUGCGAGGCCACGGUGGACGUGUACGGCCACGUGACCUGUCUGCGCGCCCAGCGAAACUACAUGGUCCAGACCGAGGAUCAGUACAUUUUCAUCCACGACGCGCUGCUGGAGUCGGUGGUGGCCGGAAACACGGAGGUGCCGGCGAAGAACCUGCAGUCGUACAUAUCGCAGCUGCUGCAGCCCACCGGACCAGGAGACAACAUCACCGGCAUGGAGCUCGAGUUCAAGAAGCUGGCCAACAUCAAGGCGCAGCCGUUCCGCUUCGUGUCGGCCAACCUGCCGGCCAACAAGUUCAAGAACCGCUUCGUCAACAUCCUGCCGUUCGAGUCGACCCGGGUGUGCCUGCAGCCGCUGCGGGGCCAGGAGUGCAGCGACUACAUCAACGCCAACUUCAUCGACGGCUACCGCACCCGGAACGCCUACAUCGCGACCCAGGGUCCGUUGGCGGAGACGACCGACGACUUCUGGCGCAUGUUGUGGGAGCACAACUCGACCAUCAUCGUGAUGCUGACCAAGCUGAAGGAGAUGGGCCGCGACAAGUGCCACCAGUACUGGCCCAGCGACAAGUCGGCCAGGUACCAGUACUGCGUGGUGGAGCCUAUCAGCGACUUCAACAUGAGCAACUGCACCAUGAGGGAGUUUAAUGUGACGGACGCGCGGGACGGCACGCCGCGUACGGUACGGCAGUUCCAGUACACCGACUGGCCCGAACAGGGCGUACCGGCGUCGGGCGAGAGUUUCGUCGACUUUGUCGGUCACGUGCACAAGACAAAGUCGCAGUUCGGCCUGGACGGACCAAUCACCGUCCACUGCAGCGCCGGCGUGGGUCGGACGGGCGCGUUUAUCGCGCUCAGUAUUGCCCUGGAGCGGAUGCAGUUCGAGGGCGUGGUGGACAUGUUCAACACGGUGCGGAUACUGCGCACACAGCGACCAGCCAUGGUGCAGACCGAGGAAGAGUACCAGAUCUGCUAUGAAGCGGCCAUUAGAUUCUUGCAGUCGUUUGAUUUCAUCAUCGAGGAGUAGCGGCUGGGCUCGAGUGAGAGCGUAGGUACGCCAUCCGCCGGUCGGAAGGGAUGGGGACGGGCCUCUCCUCUCACCACACGCCGUAGCAUGGAGGACACCCGCCGCACUAACGGACUGGUGGAGCGCGGUGGCCGGUGACCGGUCCGAGGGACGACAGCUGGUGGUGGUCAGGAUUACUUUACUGAUGCGGUGGGGACCAGUACCAGUUCGUGUACCGCGCGGCGCUCGAGUACCUCAACUCGUUCGACCACUACGUGGCCUAGGGCGCCACCUAGAGGCCCCGGUCGGCCGACCGAGGAGGUCCGUUCACCGGCGGAGACCAGCCGCGCACAGUGGGACGAUCGCGCCGCGCCGGUGACAAAAGUGCUGCGCGGAGACAGUGCCGGCGCGCGAGAGAGGCGUCGGUGACGCGGUGUGUACAUAUGUGGCGCCGCCGCCGCAGCCGUCGGGACAGCGGUCCCACAUAUCAGGAGCGCGAGCGGCCGGCCCACCAGCAAUAGAGGCAGGCGGGGGCCGCCCCGACUCCCGACGGAACAGACUCAGCACAGCAGGACACGGGAAACUGCGGCCCGCAGGCGGACGGAGAGGAUUGAGCGGCGCUGCGAACGCUACUCGGUAUUUUAUUUAAAGUUAACGGCGUCCAGUCUCCGUUUCAUGCCGCUGCUUUAUUCGAUUUAUACCUACGACACUACAGAAAACGUGCAAUUCCUUUUAUAGCAUUUGAUCAGAUCUGGCGCUCUUAAGCGUUAAUGACAAUAAAUGUAUUAUGUUUUAUGCGGAAUGUGGUAGAAGCUGCACUUCUGUUGUCGAUUUUGUAUGAUCUGUCGCUGUUUUUCUGUGAGCCUGGAGCCACAUUCCUGGUGAGACUCUCAGCCAUAUGUUGAUAUGUGAUACGGCCUGGCAGGCGCACAACGCGGCGUGCACAUUCGCGCAAUGGAGGCCGUCGGCGCGCCACCGCGAGUCCCCUCAUAGCAACGAGAGAUUAACGGUGUGUGUGUAUGUGUGUGUGCGCGCGGGACAGUGUUCGAACAAGCGGCAAAAGUGGCGCCAUCGCGACGACCCGUCAUCCCAUUGUGUAUUUUAUGUUCUCGGUGCGUCCUCAGUGUUUGAUGAGUUUGCAGCCGGCGGCGUUAGAUGGCACUGUCGGCGGCCGCCCGUUGUGGUGGCCGCGGUCGGUACGCCUCCUACGCUGGGGGUGGGACCGGCCCGGCCCAGUGUCCCCCUCCCUCGAGAACCAUAUCCUGCCGAACGGUGCCGGCAGACGCGCCGGUUUUGUAAAUUACAUGUUUGUACAUAGCAACAUACAUUGACUUUGGA